AGGCAACCCGCGGGCCGAGACGGGGUAGUGAGGGCCGGAAGCCCGGCUCCCGACUCCGCUUCGUCCCCACAACCUCCGGCCGCCUGAAGUCCUGAGGGGCCGUGGCCCUGGGUCGUCUCCCCUGUUCCCAGCCUCCAGUCGCAGCUGGCGGAGAGAAGUUCCCGAGGCCCCCCCGACUUGCAAGGAGGCCGACCCAAGUCUCCCUGCUGUCAUUUCAGGAGGCCGAAUUUUUUCCCAAUCCCAGAGAAGGUGUCAGAGGCCUGGGCUACUGAGAAAAUGUUGGACAGAGGAAGGAAGGCAGGGCAGGGCCAGGCUGCAGCUAGCAUCUGGACUGUUGGCUAAUGCUGGUGAUGGCGCAGAAGACCCUUGCCCCCUUUUACAGCUUCUCCCCUAGAAGCCUGGCCCAGAUGCCUGAAUUCCCACCUUUCAUGCACUUAGCCCUGGGGCUUGCAGUUUUGCCAGGUCCUUACUGCCUCCUCCCUCCUGUGGCCUGCCCGGAGGGGCACACAAGCAAAGCCAGUGCCUCUGUGGACAGGCAGCUUAAGACAUUAGGAGACAAAUGAAGGAAGGAGGCAAAACUUCCAAGGCCGGACUAUCUCCUCUGGACCAGAGUUUCGGCCUGCUGGGAAUGGAGUCACCAGCCCCGGGGGGGCUGACAGGUGGCUCCCGCCUACAGAGCUGUAACUCAUCCCUGCUGCUGAACAGGAAAGGGCCUGCCUUACCCAGAUCCCAUCCUCCGGAAAGGGUUAGUCAGGCAAGUGUGCUGAGAGGCCCCUGGGAACCUCGUCUCGAUUAACCCAUCAGAAAGCAGCCCAUCCUUUGCACCCAGCUCUCAGAUGGAAAAGUGAAGCCCAGAAGGAAGGGACCUGACACGGAGGCUUCCUUGGUAGCAUUUCAGUCUCAAGGGAAGAACUGUGGGCCUCCCCUGGAGCACUGGUGAAGUAAGGGGUUGGUUUGGAUAUUGUCUCCUGACUGGGAUAUGGGCAGGACUGACAGGGAGCUGGAGUCCUAACGAAGCCUGGGCUAGGUGCAGGAAGAACCAACCCAGUGGUCUCCUGACAUCUCCCACGCCCCCACCGCAGCUGGGUCACCUCCAGAAUACGGAGGAGAGAGCUGGAGGUGGAGGAACUAAGGACCUUCUUUGCCAGGUGGGGACUUAAAGUUUCAGUUACUCAUUGUUGGGGCUCAGAAACCAAUACCCCGAAAUAUAGUGGUGUGACAUUCUGAACUGAAGAAGCCUUAAGGUCUCUCCGACCAGACUCCCACAGGCCCCCCAACCCUUUGUCUCUUCCAAAGCAUACAGUGAAGUUGUUCUCUGAAGUUCCUCAUCUGCCUUAAGUCUGGACCCACCAAAGAAGAAAACAAUGACCACUGGUCCCUUCCCGGAGUUUUCUCUGACUGAACUGCUGUCACAGGAAGAAAGACUGAAGCCUGCUCACAUACCUGGACAGAUUUUGCAAACCGUUGUCUGCUCUGUGAGCCCAACAGACUUUGUCCCAGGCCACUGUAUGUUCUUCAAGCCCACUGAAUUCCCCUGAAAAUCAUUUACUAGCCCCCUGAAAUUACCCACACUUCCCCAUUGCUCAUCUGUACCCCAUUUCGUGGUGGGGCAGUCACUCUGAUUUCCCCUUGCAUGCUAAUGAAUGUGUAUUCCAUUUCUAUUCUGCUUUCAUGAGCUGACUUUUCAGUGAACCUUCAGAGGGUAAAGGGGAAGUUUUCCCUUGGCCCCUGCACCGCAAUUGGUAAGGUCCAAAAUGUUAAAUGGAAAAUUCCAGAAAUAGCUGGUCGUGAUGGCUCCUGCCUGUAAUCCCAGCACUUUGGGAGGCCGAGGUAGGUGGAUAGCUUGAAGUCAGGAGUUCGAGACCAGCCUGGCCAACAUGGUGAAACCCUGUCUGUACUAAAAGUACCAAAAUUAGCUGGGCGUGGUGGCGCACGCCUGUAGUCCCUGCUACUUGGGAGGCUGAGGCAGGAGAAUCACUUGAACCUGGGAGGCAGAGGUUGCAGUGAGCAGAGAUCGCACCACCACUCCAGCCUGGAUGACAGAGUAAGACUCCGUCUCAAAAAAAAAAAAAAAAGAAAAUUCUAGAAAUAAACAAUUCAUGUUUUAAAUAAC
This 2113-nucleotide long non-coding RNA is filed under the name Homo sapiens (human). Its description in RNAcentral is "ADIRF antisense RNA 1, transcript variant 3 (ADIRF-AS1)". The record is from RNAcentral. Lineage: Eukaryota; Metazoa; Chordata; Mammalia; Primates; Hominidae.